Long non-coding RNA from Lolium rigidum, 2514 nucleotides. RefSeq lists it as uncharacterized. The record is from RefSeq and is a predicted model, not a curated record. The transcript has 14 exons. Lineage: Eukaryota; Viridiplantae; Streptophyta; Magnoliopsida; Poales; Poaceae.
AAACAGCCCCAAAGUUACUACAGAUAAAAUAACAAUGGCGCGCAAAUUUGCAGGUAUGGGCGAGCUGAUGUGAAGAGGCGGAGAGGUUGAGUGGCAGGAGUUGCAUGGCUCGACGGCCGGUGUUGACCAUUUACAUUGGCGCUCUCUUGCCGGUGACGACGACCAACGGCGCCACCACACCGUGCGCCCUCCUGCUCAGGUCUUCCCGUCACCUCGAUCGAGAGGGCACCCCUGCCCCGGCCUAGCUGCAGGAAAACACAAGGCUGUCAUUGUUGUUGUAUGAGUUCGUCGACACACUUCUGCCAUUUGGAGCAGCUGGAGGAGUGGAUGGGUCAGAAAGAUAGGUGGGCAAGUUCUCGGAGCAGUACACCCGCUGGUCCAGCAUCACCUUUUCCUGCUCUGCCACCUCGUUUGUCGUGAAGGUUCUGAAGAAUGGUGAUGAGGUGAAGUUGCACAGGAAUGCUUUGGGUGUCUUGCAAGCUCCUAAUCUAGCUGAGAAUAUUUGUACCUGCCCAGUGGAGUUUCUGCUGGUGCUACCGACAUCAACUACGACCUGCUGCCCAUGCCUUCGUUGACGGGGAUGUCUCCUACAGCACUGCGUCCCCAAUCGGCGUGCCACAGAAGAUCUUGCUUUCUACCUCGGUUUGUACUAUAUCAUGGUUCUUCAGGAGAAGGACCUGGAUGUUCACACUGAGAAGGGCAUACAACAUAACCAGAAGGUCACCUUCCAUGGAGAAGAUGAAGCGCCUGAUACUGUUAACGGAGACAUUGUAUUCGUCAUCCAGUAGAAGGAACUCCUGAAGUUCAAAAGAAAGGGCAAUGGUCUCUUCUAUGAGCACACCUUGUCUCUCACUGAAGCUCUUUGUGUGUUUCAACUUGAGUCAGCUGCUCAUUAAGUUAAACCCUGGUGACCCACAUCUGUGGACGACGGUUGCCGUGCUGACUGGCUUUGUCUUCAAGAAAGUGCCUGUAUGGUGGUGCUCCAAAGGGCCCUCAGCUUAGAGAUCUUCAGCUUGGGGCAGAUAUUGUGAUGAUAUUCUGGAGAUGAUGAAGCUGAACGCAUGCUUGACAUUGGUUUUGAGCCACAAACAUGGAGGAUUGUGGAUGAGAUUCCUCGUUGCAGACAGACUCUGAUGUACACUGCCACUUGGCCAAAAGAGGUUACAAAGAUAUCUGGUGAUUAUUGAGAGAUCCUGUCCAGAUCAAUAUUGGAAGCAUCGAUGAACUUGCUGACAACAAAUCCAUCACAGUAUGUAGAGAUGGUUCCAUCAAUGGAUAAGCAACACCGUUUGGAGCAGAUUUUUAGAGCUGAAGAAAGGGGUUCAAAGAUCAUUAUAUUUUGCUCAACAGAGAAAAUAUGUGACCAGCCUUCUCGUGGCAGUGUCAUUGUCUUGGUGGUUCACACGGUGAUAAAUUACAGUUACCAUAUUCUCAAUCAAUUUUGGACUGGUCAUGUUCUAGUACUAGUAGCCACUGAUGUCGAGGAUGGAUGAUGCUAUCAACUUACUCUUGGUUUUUAAGGCAAGCACCUGUCCAAGGCAUGGUAUUUAUUUGUUGCCACUGGCUUGUUGAUUUUUGCUGGUUCUGGCCUAUGGAUCCCAGCGUUGUGCCUUCGAAUUCAUGUAAUGCCGCUAUGAAGCAGCUUCAGACAUUAGCUCAGGAGCCUCAUCGAUGCAGAGCAGUGAACAGCUCCCAGUGCUUUUGGUUUAUUCUGUGCCCUUUAUCUACCUGCCAGGUGAACAGACCGCCGCAAGCUCUGGAGCAUGCCUGUACUUUGUCGAGACCUUCCCAUGCUCUCAUACUUCCUUUUUGGUGAACUCUUGGAUCAGGUACAUGAAGUCGAACAAGGACUACCCUAGGAUUGUCGCCCAGCUUGGCAGCGUGGGUCUCUCUGAGCUCCUGCUGGUGGUUGCCCGGGCUGUUGCUACUGGCGUCCACCUGGAGCUGGCUAUGUCCGCUGGCCAACCCUCAACUUAGACUACAUCUGCCUCUCUACCGUGCGAUGGUGGCAAGUUCACUGCGGUGCAACCGUGGCAGCGGUGGCUUCUUCGUCGACACCAUGGUUUAGGUUUGCAUGGUAGAUGGCAUGCUCUCAAGAUACCACCCACAUUAGUGAUAGGAUGUGCAUGCAGCAGGUUGCUGUGGCCCAUCUCGUGAAGGGGAGGAGUUGAGCUGGAGAUCCGGCCGGACAUGCUUUCUUUGUUGAUUUCAUUGACGCAGUGCCGUGUUCACUGCCUGUUAGGUUAAUAAUUAGUUGCCUGUGGACUGCUGUCCUUGUUUGGCCUGGAGCAUCUACGUGGACAGAAGGUCCUUUUUUUAUGUAAUGUUGGUAUUAGAAAUUUCUUCGGCUGAUCGUAUUCAACCUAGAGGGAGAGACCGAUGUGGGUUCUUUGUAUGCCAAAACUGAGAGAAUUAACAUUUCACAAUGUUGAGAGAUGCACAUACUGCUUGUUUUGUUUUCUUCUUCAUUGCUGUAUUGAUGUAGAAUCGACACAUUUUUGAAUGUGUGGAACA